This 241-nucleotide ribosomal RNA is filed under the name Klebsiella pneumoniae. RNAcentral's name for it is "partial 23S ribosomal RNA". It matches the Rfam family "Bacterial large subunit ribosomal RNA", at positions 2702 to 2925 of the family's 2925-position model. The record is from RNAcentral. Lineage: Bacteria; Pseudomonadati; Pseudomonadota; Gammaproteobacteria; Enterobacterales; Enterobacteriaceae.
CGCAUCACUGGUGUUCGGGUUGUCAUGCCAAUGGCACUGCCCGGUAGCUAAAUGCGGAAGAGAUAAGUGCUGAAAGCAUCUAAGCACGAAACUUGCCCCGAGAUGAGUUCUCCCUGAGACUUUAAGUCUCCUGAAGGAACGUUAAAGACGAUGACGUUGAUAGGCCGGGUGUGUAAGCGCAGCGAUGCGUUGAGCUAACCGGUACUAAUGAACCGUGAGGCUUAACCUUACAACGCCGAAG